RNAcentral lists this long non-coding RNA (1073 nucleotides) under Heterocephalus glaber (naked mole-rat). RNAcentral describes it as "lncRNA (ENSHGLG00000050725.1)". The record is from RNAcentral. Lineage: Eukaryota; Metazoa; Chordata; Mammalia; Rodentia; Bathyergidae.
CUUUGCCUUUGAUGGAUUCAUCCUGUUUCUAAAUGUACGUCACUACCCUCUUCACUUCUCACCCCUCCAAUACCUGUUGGCAAAAGAAGAAAUGUUUAGCAAUCCACAGGGUACGGUAUAGAGAAAAAUAUUAGGGGAGGGAAAUUAAGAAAUUGAGCUCUAAGUCUCAGCUGUAAUUGACAAAAUGUGAUUCUCCACCUGUCUCCUCUCUCUGCUUCAGCUUAAACUGAAACGAAAGAGGUGACCAAGAUGGAUUUGUUCCACCCUAUCAAACGAAUUUGCUGGCAGAUUCAGAAAACGUAAAAAAAGGGCUGGGGAUUUAGCUCAGUGGUUCCGCCGCCUGCCUCGAAAGCGCAAGGACCCAAGUUCGAUCCCCGGUACCAAAAAGAAAACGUGAAAACUAACAACUCUAUGCGUGUUUAAAAUUAAUGCAACAGGUGCUUACUGCCUCAGGGAGGAGUUACAGACUCAGGAUGCCUGAGUUUGUACCGGCCCAUCGGCACGGCCAAAGUAAAAACUGAAGAUGUUUUCUUAAACGUCACUUUGUCUUAAUGCGUACUUCUCCCUUCCACAUCUAUCCCCACCACAGCUCCGUGAGCUACUAACCUCACUGUUCAAGAGAGGUGGAGAAAACGAAGCACAGUGAACUAAGAAUGAGGCUCAGGUCGAUGGUGGCGUUUACCCAGCAACAGAGGUUCCAGUACAUAGCUGGAAGCAUGUGGCAAAGGAAAGCUGCUCACCUCCUGGCAGACCGAGAGGUAAGGGAGGGCUGAGGACAAGACAUACCCUUCUAGUUACACCCCCAGUGACCUACUGCCCCCAACUGGGCUCACCUUUUAACACCCCUUCAGUUAUGAACUCUUCAAUGGGUUAAUCUAUUGAUGAAGUUUUGUGUCCUUGUGAUCCAAUCACCUCUCUAGGCCCCACCUGCUGCCCUGGGACUCAAGCCCUAGAUACAUGAGUUAAAGAAGCUGGGUGUGGGCCUGCAUGCCUGUAAUCCCAGGUACUGGGGAGACUGAGGCAGGAGUUUGCAGUUUCACGGUCAGUGUGGGCAAUUUAGUGAGAUUGUGCCC